GUCUCUUUGAUAGUUUUUAAUAGAGAGUUGGGCCUGCUCGGUGAUUAAUUUUAACAGCUGCGGUAUUAUAACUGUACUAAGGUAGCAUAAUAAUUUGCUUUAUAAAUUGAGGCUAGAAUGAAUGGUUUGACGAAAAUUAAACUGUCUCUUACUUAUUUAUUAGAAAUUAAUUUUUAUAGUGAAAAAGCUUAAAUAAUUUAAAGGGACAAAAGGACCCUAUGGAGCUUUAUAUUAUUAUUAAAUUUAUUAUAUUGAUUUUUAUUUUAAAUAAUUUUGGGUGGGGUGAUCAAGGAAUAAAAUAUUAAAUUUUAUUAACUUCCUUAUAUAUUUAAAUAUAUAUAUAUUAAUAAACCAAAUUUUUUGCUUAAAAGAUAAGUUACCAUAGGGAUAACAGCGUAAUUUUUUUUGAGAGUUCAUAUUGAGAAAAAAGAUUGCGACCUCGAUGUUGGAUUAAAAUAACCUUAGGGUGUAGAGGCUUUUAAUAUGGGUAAAUCUGGUCUAGGGGGGAAAAUUUU
RNAcentral lists this ribosomal RNA (515 nucleotides) under Amphioctopus fangsiao. RNAcentral describes it as "partial 16S rRNA". The record is from RNAcentral. Lineage: Eukaryota; Metazoa; Mollusca; Cephalopoda; Octopoda; Octopodidae.